Molecule: unclassified non-coding RNA, 597 nt
Filed under: uncultured bacterium
Lineage: Bacteria
Description: partial contains 16S ribosomal RNA, 16S-23S ribosomal RNA intergenic spacer, and 23S ribosomal RNA
Rfam family: Bacterial large subunit ribosomal RNA (bases 484-597)
Source: RNAcentral
UCUGGAGCGAUUCCUCAAGCGACUGUAAAGACGCCGGAAUGGAACCGUCGGCCGCGCAGGUCGCGCAGGCCGCAAUUGCGCAGAGCAUCUGAGCGUGCUUGGGCUGCUUCGUCUUGAUUUAUUGUAACAGCAUAUCCUUCGGCACGGCCCGCCGUGACGGUGCGUAAUCCCCCGCGGGGAGCGCGCAGGCCGGGGCAGGCGCCGGAGUUGAAUGCAGUCCCUUAGCUCAGUUGGUUAGAGCGCUACACUGAUAAUGUAGAGGUCGGCAGUUCAACUCUGCCAGGGACUACAAACUGAAAAAGAGCACAUUGACAUGUUGGAAGCUGAGAAUCGAAAGAUUCGAAGGUAAAUCACGAGCAAAUCAAAAACAGAAAGAACACAAGAGCGCCGAGCUUCUGAAUCACCGCUGAAAGGCUGGGGUGAAGGAGUGAGGAGAAAAGCCGAAGAAGUUCAGAGCGAAAAGGCGAUUGCUUAAUGAUAUUAAGGAAAGGAGAGAAGGGCACAUGAAGGAUGCCUUGGCUCUCGGAGGCGAAGAAGGACGUGACAAGCUGCGAUAAGCCAUGCGUAGGGGCAAAUACCCAUUGAUGCGUGGAUUUC